RNAcentral lists this unclassified non-coding RNA (229 nucleotides) under plant metagenome. RNAcentral's name for it is "partial contains small subunit ribosomal RNA, internal transcribed spacer 1, and 5.8S ribosomal RNA". The record is from RNAcentral.
UCUCCGUAGGUGAACCUGCGGAGGGAUCAUUACAGAGUUCAUGCACUAACGGGUAGAUCUCCCACCCUAUGUUAUCAUCACUUUGUUGCUUUGGCGGGCCGUCAGGCCUCGGCUUGGCUACCGGCUCUCGCUGGUAAGCGCCCGCCAGAGAACCCCAAACCCUGAAUAUCAGUGUCGUCUGAGUACUAUAUAAUAGUUAAAACUUUCAACAACGGAUCUCUUGGUUCUG